This 640-nucleotide ribosomal RNA is filed under the name uncultured bacterium. RNAcentral describes it as "partial 16S ribosomal RNA". The record is from RNAcentral.
UCUACGAAUUCCACCUCUACACUAGAAAUUCCACUUUCCUCUAUCAUACUCUAGCUAAAAAGUUUUGAUGGCAGUUCCAAGGUUGAGCCUUGGGAUUUCACCAUCAACUUUUUUAACCACCUACGAACUCUUUAAGCCCAGUAAUUCCGAGCUACGCUAGGUCCCUUCGUAUUACCGCGGCUGCUGGCACGAAGUUAGCCGGACCUUCUUAUUCGGGUACAGUCAUUUUCUUCCCCGACGAAAGAGUUUUACAACCCAAAGGCCUUCUUCACUCACGCGGCAUCGCUGCAUCAGGGUUUCCCCCAUUGUGCAAGAUUCCCCACUGCUGCCUCCCGUAGGAGUUUGGGCCGUGUCUCAGUCCCAAUGUGGCUGGUCUUCCUCUAAGAACAGCUAUUGAUCGUAGCCUUGGUAAGCUAUUACCUUACCAACUAGCUAAUCAAGUGCGGGCUCAUCUUUUGGCAUUAAAACUUUCCCUGUAAAGGCUUAUCCGGUAUUAGCACAAGUUUCCUCGUGUUAUUCCGAACCAAAAGGCAGAUUCCCACAUUAUACUCACCCGUUUGCCACUCAGUAUUGCUACUGCGUUCGACUUGCAUGUGUUAGGCGUGCCGCCAGCGUACGUUCUGAGCCAGGAUCAAACUCU